RNAcentral lists this long non-coding RNA (613 nucleotides) under Homo sapiens (human). RNAcentral describes it as "non-protein coding lnc-TUBE1-1:1". The record is from RNAcentral. Lineage: Eukaryota; Metazoa; Chordata; Mammalia; Primates; Hominidae.
GUGACUUACGGCAGCUCUCUAGCAGAGCGCCGUUGCUGGGGGAAUGCAGAAGCGGCCGCGGGCUAGCAAGCUCCCGGAGCCGGCGGCGCACCACCAUGACCCAGUCGGUGGUCGUACAGGUCGGCCAGUGCGGAAACCAGAUCGGCUGCUGCUUCUGGGACCUGGCACUAAGGGAGCACGCCGCGGUCAACCAGGUACCCGCCCGCCGCCGCGAGCCCCCUCGCCUGUCAGCUAGGUCUUCCAGCCCAUACGCAGGAAAUAAUCGACUUGAGCUUUCAUCUGACCCGUUUAAGAUGCAUGGGAUCUUCCCAGUAAAGAACGUACUGGUUUUUAAACAUGUUGCGUCAGACACACACUAAACUAAAAGAACACUGGCCAGCGACCUUAGUCUUAACGUUUUUCCUGAUUCUCAGGGUCUCCUCUUUAUUGGUGUUCGUGUGCAGAACAGUGAGAUUUGUAUAUGGGAAAGUACUUUGUAAAAUAGAUAACACGUGUGGUUAUUGUAUUCCUUAAUUUAACCAGUCAGCUUUUAAAAAGAUUACGAAGAAUCCAGAGAACGCUCAUUUGAUGGACCUGUCCUACAGUCCUAUGGGUGAAAUCCUUUCUUUAGCAC